AAACUUUGGUAAUAAAGUACAUAUAUUACCCGCCAGGGGACUACAAGCACUAGCUUAAAACCCAAAGGACUUGGCGGUGCCUCAAACCCAUCUAGAGGAGCCUGUUCUACAACUGAUAAUCCUCGUUAAACCUCACCACCCCUUGUCAACCCCGCCUAUAUACCGCCGUCGCCAGCUCACCUUGUGAAAGAUAAAUAGUGAGCCUAAUGGGAACAUCCCAGAACGUCAGGUCGAGGUGUAGCGAAUGGGGUGGGAAGAAAUGGGCUACAUUUUCUGACCUCCAGAAUAUUACGAAAAAUGCUAUGAAAUAUAGUAUACAGAAGGUGGAUUUAGCAGUAAAGAGAAAACAGAGUGUCUC
This 358-nucleotide ribosomal RNA is filed under the name Halosauropsis macrochir (abyssal halosaur). Its description in RNAcentral is "partial 12S ribosomal RNA". It matches the Rfam family "Bacterial small subunit ribosomal RNA", at positions 801 to 1361 of the family's 1533-position model. Lineage: Eukaryota; Metazoa; Chordata; Actinopteri; Notacanthiformes; Halosauridae. The record is from RNAcentral.